CCUACGGGGGGCUGCAGUGGGGAAUAUUGGACAAUGGGGGCAACCCUGAUCCAGCCAUGCCGCGUGUGUGAAGAAGGCCCUCGGGUUGUAAAGCACUUUCAGUGAGGAAGAACGCCUGGUGGUUAAUACCCAUCAGGAAAGACAUCACUCACAGAAGAAGCACCGGCUAACUCCGGGCCAGCAGCCGCGGUAAUACGGAGGGUGCGAGCGUUAAUCGGAAUUACUGGGCGUAAAGCGCGCGUAGGUGGCUUGAUAAGCCGGUUGUGAAAGCCCCGGGCUCAACCUGGGAACGGCAUCCGGAACUGUCAAGCUAGAGUGUAGGAGAGGAAGGUAGAAUUCCCGGUGUAGCGGUGAAAUGCGUAGAGAUCGGGAGGAAUACCAGUGGCGAAGGCGGCCUUCUGGACUGACACUGACACUGAGGUGCGAAAGCGUGGGUAGCAAACAGGAUUAGAUACCCUUGUAGUC
This 465-nucleotide ribosomal RNA is filed under the name Vreelandella stevensii. RNAcentral describes it as "partial 16S ribosomal RNA". It matches the Rfam family "Bacterial small subunit ribosomal RNA", at positions 338 to 795 of the family's 1533-position model. Lineage: Bacteria; Pseudomonadati; Pseudomonadota; Gammaproteobacteria; Oceanospirillales; Halomonadaceae. The record is from RNAcentral.